AGUAGGGAAUAUUGGGCAAUGGGCGCAAGCCUGACCCAGCCAUGCCGCGUGCAGGAUGAAGGCGCUCAGCGUCGUAAACUGCUUUUAUCUGGGAAGAAUAUUGGUUGUGCGCAAUCAAUUGACGGUACCAGAGGAAUAAGCACCGGCUAACUCCGUGCCAGCAGCCGCGGUAAUACGGAGGGUGCAAGCGUUGUCCGGAUUUAUUGGGUUUAAAGGGUGCGUAGGUGGGUGUUUAAGUCUGGUUUGAAAGCAAGCGGCUCAACCGUUUGAUGUGGCUGGAAACUGGGCAUCUUGAAUGGGUUAGCGGUAGCCGGAAUGGGUCAUGUAGCGGUGAAAUGCAUAGAUAUGACCCGGAACACCGAUUGCGAAGGCAGGCUACUGGGACUUGAUUGACACUGAGGCACGAGAGCAUGGGUAGCGAACAGGAUUAGAUACCCUGGUAGUCCAUGCCGUAAACGAUGAUUACUGGCUGUCUGUAUGUGAAUAUGGGUGGCUGAGCGAAAGCGUUAAGUAAUCCACCUGGGGAGUACG
Molecule: ribosomal RNA, 531 nt
Filed under: uncultured bacterium
Lineage: Bacteria
Description: bacterial SSU rRNA
Rfam family: Bacterial small subunit ribosomal RNA
Source: RNAcentral